RNAcentral lists this ribosomal RNA (305 nucleotides) under uncultured bacterium. Its description in RNAcentral is "bacterial SSU rRNA". It matches the Rfam family "Bacterial small subunit ribosomal RNA", at positions 335 to 656 of the family's 1533-position model. The record is from RNAcentral.
UUGCCUACGGGAGGCAGCAGUGGGGAAUAUUGCACAAUGGGGGAAACCCUGAUGCAGCGACGCCGCGUGGGCGAGGAAGUACCUCGGUAUGUAAAGCCCUAUCAGCAGGGAAGAAACAGGACAGUACCUGACUAAGAAGCCCCGGCUAACUACGUGCCAGCAGCCGCGGUAAUACGUAGGGGGCAAGCGUUAUCCGGAUUUACUGGGUGUAAAGGGAGCGUAGACGGCAGCACAAGUCUGGAGUGAAAUCCCGGGGCUUAACCCCGGAACUGCUUUGGAAACUGUGCGGCUGGAGUGCAGGAGGG